UGACGGAGGUUGUGGCAUGAGAGGAGCUCUGUCCAACUGCCAUCCUUAUACCGCGGCCCAGCAUAGCUAGGCUGGAAUCGGCUUAUACUGAGAGCCGGGGGUUUGAAGAAACUGGUGGACGUUAAGGAGGUGACAGCAGAAUAGUUAGUGACACAAACGCAGCUGUCGAUUAGCCCAAACGCCGACACUGACAUACAGACAGCGCGGACCCACGUGGGGCAGGUCAGCUGACCAGUGAGGGUGUGCUAAAGCACAGAUGAGCAGCGUGGAGCCAGAUGAAAAGGCCAGGGAGACAGCUCGGCGGCUCCUGCAGAGGGGGAGAUGUGCUGGAGGGUGCUGGCUGCUGGACGAUUGGAUGCUUAAGCGACCGGUAAAUAGGGCUGCGUCAGGAGCGGGCCCGGGGUGCAUUGGAGGCCACUGACAGCUCGGCAGAGUGGGUCCACAUUGCACUGAAUGCUGCUGAUGAAUCAUUGAAGGUUGGAAGACAGCAAAAGGACACUGAUCGCUGAUUGAAAGAAAACAUUACACAUUACUCCAAUCUCCCAACUUCAUGGCUCGGGUGAAUUGCAGCGGCAAAACAUUUUUUUCUCCCUGAGUACCGUAAGUGUUUAUUAGAUUUUUCAACAAGACAGAAACAAAAGUAAUCAAGAAAACGUGCUUACAAGGGAAACCAUCCCAAUCAACAAGGCACAAAAUUCAAGGCAAUAACAUGUCGUCUAAAUCAAAGGCAAGCCUACAUAUCAAGGAGUUUUCUAGACGACAACACCGUGUGUAGAGAUUGGGAACAAAAUCCAUAAAUAAUACGGUAUCAAUUUCCUUUACUGCAAGUAGUAACACACAUGAAGAGAAUAG
Molecule: long non-coding RNA, 852 nt
Organism: Hyla sarda
Lineage: Eukaryota; Metazoa; Chordata; Amphibia; Anura; Hylidae
Exons: 3
Source: RefSeq, a predicted model, not a curated record